GACGAACGCUGGCGGCGUGCUUAACACAUGCAAGUCGAACGGAAAGAGAUGAAAGAGCUUGCUCUUUUAUUAAUUUCAGUGGCAAACGGGUGAGUAACACGUAAACAACCUGCCUUAAGGAUGGGGAUAACAGACGGAAACGACUGCUAAUACCGAAUACGUUCUAAGCAUCGCAUGAUGCAUAGAAGAAAGGGUGGCCUCUACAAGAAAGCUAUCGCCUUAAGAGGGGUUUGCGACUGAUUAGGUAGUUGGUGAGGUAACGGCUCACCAAGCCGACGAUCAGUAGCCGGUCUGAGAGGAUGAACGGCCACACUGGAACUGAGACACGGUCCAGACUCCUACGGGAGGCAGCAGUGGGGAAUCUUCCGCAAUGGACGAAAGUCUGACGGAGCAACGCCGCGUGAACGAAGAAGGUCUUCGGAUUGUAAAGUUCUGUGAUUCGGGACGAAAGGGUUUGUGGUGAAUAAUCAUAGACAUUGACGGUACCGAAAAAGCAAGCCACGGCUAA
Molecule: ribosomal RNA, 508 nt
Filed under: Dialister pneumosintes
Lineage: Bacteria; Bacillati; Bacillota; Negativicutes; Veillonellales; Veillonellaceae
Description: bacterial SSU rRNA
Rfam family: Bacterial small subunit ribosomal RNA
Source: RNAcentral